This 253-nucleotide ribosomal RNA is filed under the name uncultured bacterium. Its description in RNAcentral is "partial 16S ribosomal RNA". It matches the Rfam family "Bacterial small subunit ribosomal RNA", at positions 524 to 776 of the family's 1533-position model. The record is from RNAcentral.
UACGUAGGUGACAAGCGUUGUCCGGAUUUAUUGGGCGUAAAGAGCUCGUAGGCGGCUUGUCGCGUCGACUGUGAAAACCCGCGGCUCAACUGCGGGCCUGCAGCCGAUACGGGCAGGCUAGAGUUCGGUAGGGGAGACUGGAAUUCCUGGUGUAGCGGUGAAAUGCGCAGAUAUCAGGAGGAACACCAAUGGCGAAGGCAGAUCUCUGGGCCGUAACUGACGCUGAGGAGCGAAAGCAUGGGGAGCGAACAGG